AUACGUAGGGAGCAAGCGUUGUCCGGAUUUACUGGGUGUAAAGGGCGCGCAGGCGGGUUGGUAAGUCAGAGGUGAAAUCCUACAGCUUAACUGUAGAACUGCCUUUGAUACUACUAAUCUUGAGUAUGGAAGAGAGAGACGGAAUUCCAGGUGUAGUGGUGAAAUACGUAGAUAUCUGGAAGAACACCAGUUGCGAAGGCGGUCUCUUGGUCCAAUACUGACGCUGAGGCGCGAAAGCGUGGGUAGCAAACAGGAUUAGAUACCCCUGUAGUCC
Molecule: ribosomal RNA, 274 nt
Filed under: uncultured bacterium
Lineage: Bacteria
Description: partial 16S ribosomal RNA
Rfam family: Bacterial small subunit ribosomal RNA
Source: RNAcentral